GAUGAACGCUGGCGGCGUGCCUAAUACAUGCAGGUCGAGCGAACAGACGAGGAGCUUGCUCCUCUGACGUUAGCGGCGGACGGGUGAGUAACACGUGGAUAACCUACCUAUAAGACUGGGAUAACUUCGGGAAACCGGAGCUAAUACCGGAUAAUAUAUUGAACCGCAUGGUUCAAUAGUGAAAGACGGUUUUGCUGUCACUUAUAGAUGGAUCCGCGCCGCAUUAGCUAGUUGGUAAGGUAACGGCUUACCAAGGCGACGAUGCGUAGCCGACCUGAGAGGGUGAUCGGCCACACUGGAGCUGAGACGCGGUCCAGACUCCUACGGGAGGCAGCAGUAGGGAAUCUUCCGCAAUGGGCGAAAGCCUGACGGAGCAACGCCGCGUGAGUGAUGAAGGUCUUCGGAUCGUAAAACUCUGUUAUUAGGGAAGAACAAAUGUGUAAGUAACUAUGCACGUCUUGACGGUACCUAAUCAGAAAGCCACGGCUAACUACGUG
Molecule: ribosomal RNA, 497 nt
Filed under: uncultured bacterium
Lineage: Bacteria
Description: partial 16S ribosomal RNA
Rfam family: Bacterial small subunit ribosomal RNA
Source: RNAcentral